AGCUGGAACAAGGAAGAUGUUUACUUGAUUGACUCGUGUCCUAGCUUCAUUUACGCGUUCGCCACCACAGCCUCGUUUAGGCAUAGCAGCCCUUCCUGUUUGUUUUCACUGUCCGAUUCAACAUGAAUUCUACAUUCUGUCUCAUCAUCUUCGGAAUAUUCAUGAUGUUUGCCUUGACAAUAGGCGCUGAAAAUAAAUGUCGGGAGAAAUGCAUGAGAGAACAUCUGGAGAAUGGAAAUUCGAUUGGGCGCAUUGCUUAUUUGCAGUGUUUUUAUGAUAAAUGUUCAACAUACAAAGUUCAUUGAAGAAAAUCAAUAACCAAUAUGCGAUACAAAAAGCAAUAAUUUUAAAGACAACAUUUAUACA
This is a long non-coding RNA of Octopus sinensis (East Asian common octopus), 366 nucleotides long. RefSeq lists it as uncharacterized. The record is from RefSeq and is a predicted model, not a curated record. Lineage: Eukaryota; Metazoa; Mollusca; Cephalopoda; Octopoda; Octopodidae. The transcript is spliced from 3 exons.